GGACGGUAAGGAAUGAAAGUCUGACACCGUUUACUUUAAGGAAUACAGUGCGGCAAAGUCUUCAGACCUAAAUGGAGCGUCAUUAUCUGAGAUGAUUUUCUCCAGCAGGAAGAAUGGCAUUGAGCGGAUAUCCAGACGUCUGUAACUUAUGUUACAAGAGAACGCAAAUUGGCAUGACACAAAAAAAACACUCGUCAAAGGCAAACCACCAAGUGGUGGCCGUCCUUCGGACAAGAGGUUACAACGAGGAGAAAUCGACCCGUUCAAGGUGG
This is a long non-coding RNA of Callorhinchus milii (elephant shark), 272 nucleotides long. RefSeq lists it as uncharacterized. NCBI's taxonomy places the organism in Eukaryota, Metazoa, Chordata, Chondrichthyes, Chimaeriformes, Callorhinchidae. The record is from RefSeq and is a predicted model, not a curated record. The transcript is spliced from 3 exons.